Molecule: long non-coding RNA, 329 nt
Organism: Stegostoma tigrinum
Lineage: Eukaryota; Metazoa; Chordata; Chondrichthyes; Orectolobiformes; Stegostomatidae
Exons: 3
Source: RefSeq, a predicted model, not a curated record
UAAUUCCAAAAUGGAAAAAUGUGGUUCCUUACGAGGGUCAUCCAAUCUGUGAGGUCAGAUGUCUUAAUCCAUGUGACAGCUUAGGAGUACAUGAAAGAUCCCAUGGCAUAAUAUCUAAGAGCAGAUGAAUUCUUCCAAGAGCCCAGGCAAAUAUUUAUCCCUCAGCCAAUUCUUAAAAACAGAUUAUCAGAUUUAUUUUUUGAACUGACUUCAAACGUGCAAACUGCUGUGAUGGGAUUGAACUGACUUCAACUGGAUUACAUAAAUACUAUCCAACUAUAUGAAAUCAACCAACAACAUCAGACAUCUACUUCACAUGAAUCUCUUAC